GUUUUAAUAGUUUAAUAAAAACAUUGGUCUUGUAAACCAAAAAUAAAUUUAAUUUUUAAAAUA
This 63-nucleotide transfer RNA is filed under the name Culicoides arakawae. Its description in RNAcentral is "tRNA-Thr". It matches the Rfam family "tRNA". Rfam says of the family: Transfer RNA (tRNA) molecules are approximately 80 nucleotides in length. Lineage: Eukaryota; Metazoa; Arthropoda; Insecta; Diptera; Ceratopogonidae. The record is from RNAcentral.